Non-coding RNA from Mycena polygramma, 100 nucleotides. NCBI's taxonomy places the organism in Eukaryota, Fungi, Basidiomycota, Agaricomycetes, Agaricales, Mycenaceae. The record is from the annotation of a GenBank genome assembly.
AGCAGUGUAGUGUAUGGCAGCACGCGGGACUGUUUUAAUGUGUCUGGCUAUAUUGACUUACUGUAUUCCCGAAGUCCUUGUUCGACUUAAGGUACUGCUC